RNAcentral lists this long non-coding RNA (1384 nucleotides) under Ananas comosus (pineapple). Its description in RNAcentral is "long non-coding RNA (ACOM_LNC040201)". Lineage: Eukaryota; Viridiplantae; Streptophyta; Magnoliopsida; Poales; Bromeliaceae. The record is from RNAcentral.
UUUGUUUGAUUCAUUUAGAAAUAAACUUAGCUAAAAAUAUGAAUCAACUAGAAUUUAAAUUUGGAAUCUCGGGUAUCAACCACCAAACCCUUUGCCACUUGCUCUAGGAACGGUCGGUUCUUUUCUAAGAAAAUUAGUAUAAUUUAUUUGAUGCGUUAAUUUUAAAAAUUUACUCUAAUUUAAAAUUUUUUUGUAAAAAUAUAUAAAAUUUAUUUCAACUAUAAUUUAUUUGAAUUUGACUAUUUAAUAUUUCGAAAUUUUCAUUUUACUAUCUAAUCUUUCAAUUUAUUUGAUUUGAAUCGGUCGUUUGAAUUUUGAUUGAUUCAAAUUAAAUAAAUUAACAAGUUAGAUAAUAAAAUAAUAAUUUUGAAAGAUUGGAUAGUCAAAUUCAAACGAUCUAUAGUUCAGAUAAAUUUCAUACAAUUUUACUAAACUUUUUAAUCAAAUCUCGAUAUAUAUUAGAUGAUGAAUUCGGAAGAAACCUAGCAAAAAAAAUAUGUGAGUAUCUAAUAUUUUGCAGAAAAGAUUUAAAUGGAAACCACACGAAUUGUAAAGUUGUGGGAGUGGUGCAUGGAGCAGUCUCACGUUUGAAAUUAUUUCUAUCGAUUUUUUUUUUAACUUUUGAUGAAAAAUUAUAGGAUUAGAAUGAUAUUAAUUUCUUAGAGUUGAGUGGUCCCCCUAUGGUUGAGUGGUCCCCACUGAAUUAUAAUAUUUAAUCUAAUGGUUAUAAAUGAUCAAAGAAACUAAUCCAAAGGAUAAAAACUUAAUAACAAAAAAGGAUAAAUACUAUUAAAAUACAAUGUAGAAAUGGAAAAUAAUAUAAGACAAAAAAUAAAAAUAAUUUUAAAAUACAAUGUGGAAAUUGAUAAUAGAUGAUGGCUUUGAAUUUUGACAAAAAUAGUAUAACAUAGUAAAUAAAAGGAUAAUAAUCUAUACACCCCUCAAAACUUCUGAAAUAUAUUAGCUAUCCCUACUUUUUUUUGUUUUAAAUAUACUCCUCAUAUAUUUCUACUUUAUUAAAAAAAACUUAUUGUUAGUGCCCGUUAAAUCAUCUCGAGUUAAAUCUGAGUUAAAUUUCUAUUAUAAGUAUAUACUUAUUUUGUUCAUAACUUAAAAGCAAAUAAGAAAAGUUAGUCGUGAUAGAAAGGUAUAUAUAUUUGAAAUGGCAAAAAAGUAAAAAUACUUUUUUUGCUCCACACUUAAGGAGAAAUAAGAAAAGUUGGUGACUGUACAUAGAAGUGUAUAUUUAAAAGAAUAAAUAGUAAAUUUAUAAAGAUAACAGCUGUUCUUAACAGUUUACUAACAAAAUUUAACUCUAGAGUUAUAUUUUUUUCUGAAAAAAACUGAAACUUUAAAAGUAUAUUUUUAAUAUUAUUCUUCUAAU